ACCUCGGUAAUUUAGCGGUCAAAAACAGCGGGGCGUAAACCUGAAGACCUGGGUUCGAAUCCCAGUCGAGAUC
Henosepilachna vigintioctopunctata is the source of this 73-nucleotide non-coding RNA. NCBI's taxonomy places the organism in Eukaryota, Metazoa, Arthropoda, Insecta, Coleoptera, Coccinellidae. The record is from the annotation of a GenBank genome assembly.